Molecule: RNA transcript, 1799 nt
Organism: Vicia villosa (hairy vetch)
Lineage: Eukaryota; Viridiplantae; Streptophyta; Magnoliopsida; Fabales; Fabaceae
Gene name: N-carbamoylputrescine amidase-like
Exons: 4
Source: RefSeq, a predicted model, not a curated record
UCUUUCAGAUCUGCUUUGUGAAAAUUGAAAUAAAAAAAAAGGAAACCCUAAACUUCUCUCUCUAUCUCUUCUCCUGUUGCUUAUCAACGCUAGAAAAUGGUUGUUGCUUAUCAACGCUAGAAAAUGGUUCUGUCAUUAUCCUACCAAACUACAUGGGAACAAAAGAUCAGUCAUUAAUGGAGGAACUUAACAUCAUCACCAUUAUCAUCUCUAUAUCCGAUGACUUCAAAAUUUAUUUCAAAGUUGUUGACUUCUCACCGCCGUUUCCUUGAAAUCGCAGAGUCUUUUCUCAAUGAUAUGUCGGCAUCAAAACAUAUAUGAUGUUCUUUUCAAGCCGAUUCUUGGAUGCACAACAUAGCAAUGAUUGUCGCGGCCAGCCGUUGCGAAAAUUGGUUGAAGAACCAUUGCCAGAUUUCACGAAAACUUGGAUCGGGUAAGCAUUAUCGGAUGUUGCAGGAUCUUAUCACAGAUUUAUGAAAAUCAUAGCACCGGUGUUGUUCACCUCUUGGCGGUAAGGCAAGCAACGCUGGAUGAUUGACUCGGGAGCCAUCGAGUUGGAUUUAUUAUAGAGGUAGCAACCCGGCUCUGAAAGUUUCAAUCAAAUUCUGACAAGAUUUUAGGUCGAGUUUGAUAGCCAAGUAUCCAACAUGAUGUCAUGUGAAUCACGGUGUCGUCGCUAUCAUCAGAAGAUAAGUGCAUUCCUUUACUGUAUAGAUUUUUGAUACAACAAGUUAUACUGCAUCUGAUGAAUUUUACUUUCUUCUUGUUUCAAUAAGAUUAUUUAAUAUAAGACGUUUCCAGAUUCAGAAUGUUGAUUUGCUGAAAUAAGUCAUUUAUUCAUUUUUAGUUUCAAAUUAGUCCUUUUUUUCAUGUCAAGGUAGUCCUUUAUUUUAUGGAUCAAGUCUGGGAAAUGCAGGUACGUCUCGUGGCUUCAAAUAGGAUAGGAAGCGAGAUAAUUGAAACUGAGCAUGGAAAAAGUGAGAUAAAGUUUUAUGGAAACUCCUUCAUAACUUUUCUUUCAGCAAACAGGGCCUACCGGAGAAAUUGUUUCAUAUUUUGUGAUGAUAAAGAGGAAGCAGAUCUUAUUGCUGAAUUUGAUUUGGACAAAAUCAAAUCCACGAGGCAUUGUUGGGGGGUAUUCCGUAAUCGGCGUCCAGAUCUAUAUAAGGUGCCCUCAUGAGCUCAUAUCUGAUCUUUUCAACUGAAAGUAUGUGUUAUGAUAGGUUUAAGAAUGGUUAUGGUACAGUGUUAUACCUCAGUGGAACAAGAUGUUGGGAAACAUGUUCUUUAGGGGUUCCUACAAUUGUUUAUGUUUGGUCAGGGCUACUUUCCAUUACUAUUGCUUUGCUUUGGAUUUCGAUUGAUCCUCCAACUGGGACUGGUGGGGGAGGAAAUAUUGAAAUACGAUUACAUUCGAAGUAUAUUCAUCAUGCAUACAUAUACCGAUUCGGAAGCCUAGAACAUUUCUUCUGAUUGACAUAAGGAUUUUGUUCAUGAAGUUGCUAUAAGUGUUUCUGUAUCAUAUAUAAGAAUGUUGAAAUGUGACAAGAAAUAGAAGUGAGAGAUGGAUUGUGUUUUUUUUUCAACUUUAUAGAUAGAUAGAUAUUUGCAAAACAGAGCAUGGUGGGAGGAUAAGAAAGUGAAGAAUGUACAGAGAAAUAAGAAGAGAGUUAUUUAACAUUAAUAUUGAUAUGUAGAAAUAUUUUGUAUAUUAAAUUAUUUAUAAAGUUUUAGAUUUUAUUAUAUACCUCCAUACUAUUCUUAUCAUACAGAAUUCAUAAAGAGAAAUUUCAAAACCU